UCACCACUUAAACACAGGCACCUGCGUGUCAUAAUGGAUAAACUCUAGGCCUAAUCUAUCAAAGUAAGAUUUAUGUUUAAUUUUAUAUUAGCCGAGUUACUGCUGCUUUUAUCUACCCUUUAAUUGGAUAUUUUUUCAACGCAACGCGCCUGACGGCCCGCCGGGGAGACUCAUCGUGAAGGCGAAAGUCCUAAGAGUGUGUUAAAUGGCGCGCGAGCAGACUGGCGGGAGACUCGUGAAGACGAAAGCUGUACGAAUACUUUAAAUAGGAGCGACGCUGGCAGAGCAGCCGGGACCCUCGGGAGACAGGCGGCCAUAAAGAAGACCGUUUUAAACAUUUUCAGAUGGUUAUACUACCUACUUUUCCCUACUAUGGAAGUCAGUGGUACCCCAAAACAGCCUGGUUACAAACUUUCUUCAAAAUAUCUUACUUUGUGUUCGGGCAGAAAAAAGAAAUUCAUACAGGUUUGGAACUACUUGAGGGUGAGUAAAUGAUGACAGAAUUUUCAUUUUUGAGUGAACUAUCCCUUUAAUGCUCUUGUAAAUGUUUAGUAAUAUUUUAAAAUAAAUGCCUUUUCUCUGUUUUUUUCUUUACUGUUUUUAGGAAUGAAGCUGAGUAGUCUG
This is a long non-coding RNA of Onychostoma macrolepis, 624 nucleotides long. RefSeq lists it as uncharacterized. Lineage: Eukaryota; Metazoa; Chordata; Actinopteri; Cypriniformes; Cyprinidae. The record is from RefSeq and is a predicted model, not a curated record. The transcript is spliced from 4 exons.